GAGGGCAACGGAGGCCCGCGCACCUGAGUGACACAGGAAAGGGCGGCGGGCUGCGGGCCUGGGCUCUAGCGGCUCCUGCCCCGUCUCUCCCCGGACAGCGACGGCAAGCGAAUCCCUCUCGGCGGCACCGCAAUCUCCCCUCGGCUUCUCACACGGGCGCCGCCAUCUUGGAACUCCCAUCACCUCCCGCGACAGGGCUGGGGGCGGGGCUAACGGCUGUCGGUAGAGCAGCGCCUCUGAGGGAGGGAGGGAAGAAGAGGCCUCCGUUCUACUGUUACCGUGGCAACAGGCGGAUGGCCUAGGUCCAGCUCCUGUUACUAUAGCAACCAGGGUACCCUUGUAUUCCUUUGCCUUGCCUCAGGGAGAGAAGCUUUUCAUUGGGAUGCUUGGUGUUGCAGUCAAAUAUUGGAUCUUCUUGCCUAUCAUGCGACAACUUGUGGCCAAUGACAGUAUUACAGUAAAAGAAUCCAUAUUUUCAGUAGUGCAUGCUGCUGAAUUAACAUUUCUUAUUUUAAAUGAUGUGCUGAUGAUACAUGACUCCUGAAAAGCUUUCUAAAAUGUUUAAAAGGGUUUCCAACAUUUGCUGGAAAUGUAAACAAGUGGGCUCUUUCAUGUAAAUUGCCAUUAAAUAUUGGGUUCAAAUCCACAAGUCAAUCCAAAGAAAUUGGGGGAAAAUAUCCAGUUAGAACCUGAGACUUUUUUUACUUGAACUGACAGAUAUAAAUUAUUAUGAUAGAUUGUUUCAAUAUAUGAUCACAGCAGCCAGAUUAUUAUAUUUGUAGAACUGGAAGAAAUCAGCAACACCAACAAUAGAAGACUGGAUAAUAAAAAUGAUGGACUUGUCUAAGAUGGAUAAAUUAAACUGCUGAUCAAAAGAAGGUAAUGAGAGAUCACUACCGGGCCCCUGGUUGAGAACUAUUUUCGAUUUGGACUCAGUCCAUGCCAGCCCAAUGACCAUCAUUUGACUACACAACCAACCCAUACUGUUUUGUGAACUCUAGUUGGCUGCUGUAAAUUAAUGUGGAUGUUUGCUUAGAUUUUAUGCUAUUAUAUAAUUUUGUUAAACU
RNAcentral lists this long non-coding RNA (1067 nucleotides) under Anolis carolinensis (green anole). RNAcentral's name for it is "lncRNA (ENSACAG00000034952.1)". Lineage: Eukaryota; Metazoa; Chordata; Lepidosauria; Squamata; Anolidae. The record is from RNAcentral.